This 1687-nucleotide ribosomal RNA is filed under the name Escherichia coli. RNAcentral's name for it is "partial 23S ribosomal RNA". It matches the Rfam family "Bacterial large subunit ribosomal RNA", at positions 1270 to 2925 of the family's 2925-position model. The record is from RNAcentral. Lineage: Bacteria; Pseudomonadati; Pseudomonadota; Gammaproteobacteria; Enterobacterales; Enterobacteriaceae.
AUGCUGGAGGUAUCAGAAGUGCGAAUGCUGACAUAAGUAACGAUAAAGCGGGUGAAAAGCCCGCUCGCCGGAAGACCAAGGGUUCCUGUCCAACGUUAAUCGGGGCAGGGUGAGUCGACCCCUAAGGCGAGGCCGAAAGGCGUAGUCGAUGGGAAACAGGUUAAUAUUCCUGUACUUGGUGUUACUGCGAAGGGGGGACGGAGAAGGCUAUGUUGGCCGGGCGACGGUUGUCCCGGUUUAAGCGUGUAGGCUGGUUUUCCAGGCAAAUCCGGAAAAUCAAGGCUGAGGCGUGAUGACGAGGCACUACGGUGCUGAAGCAACAAAUGCCCUGCUUCCAGGAAAAGCCUCUAAGCAUCAGGUAACAUCAAAUCGUACCCCAAACCGACACAGGUGGUCAGGUAGAGAAUACCAAGGCGCUUGAGAGAACUCGGGUGAAGGAACUAGGCAAAAUGGUGCCGUAACUUCGGGAGAAGGCACGCUGAUAUGUAGGUGAAGUCCCUCGCGGAUGGAGCUGAAAUCAGUCGAAGAUACCAGCUGGCUGCAACUGUUUAUUAAAAACACAGCACUGUGCAAACACGAAAGUGGACGUAUACGGUGUGACGCCUGCCCGGUGCCGGAAGGUUAAUUGAUGGGGUCAGCGCAAGCGAAGCUCUUGAUCGAAGCCCCGGUAAACGGCGGCCGUAACUAUAACGGUCCUAAGGUAGCGAAAUUCCUUGUCGGGUAAGUUCCGACCUGCACGAAUGGCGUAAUGAUGGCCAGGCUGUCUCCACCCGAGACUCAGUGAAAUUGAACUCGCUGUGAAGAUGCAGUGUACCCGCGGCAAGACGGAAAGACCCCGUGAACCUUUACUAUAGCUUGACACUGAACAUUGAGCCUUGAUGUGUAGGAUAGGUGGGAGGCUUUGAAGUGUGGACGCCAGUCUGCAUGGAGCCGGCCUUGAAAUACCACCCUUUAAUGUUUGAUGUUCUAACGUUGACCCGUGAUCCGGGUUGCGGACAGUGUCUGGUGGGUAGUUUGACUGGGGCGGUCUCCUCCUAAAGAGUAACGGAGGAGCACGAAGGUUGGCUAAUCCUGGUCGGACAUCAGGAGGUUAGUGCAAUGGCAUAAGCCAGCUUGACUGCGAGCGUGACGGCGCGAGCAGGUGCGAAAGCAGGUCAUAGUGAUCCGGUGGUUCUGAAUGGAAGGGCCAUCGCUCAACGGAUAAAAGGUACUCCGGGGAUAACAGGCUGAUACCGCCCAAGAGUUCAUAUCGACGGCGGUGUUUGGCACCUCGAUGUCGGCUCAUCACAUCCUGGGGCUGAAGUAGGUCCCAAGGGUAUGGCUGUUCGCCAUUUAAAGUGGUACGCGAGCUGGGUUUAGAACGUCGUGAGACAGUUCGGUCCCUAUCUGCCGUGGGCGCUGGAGAACUGAGGGGGGCUGCUCCUAGUACGAGAGGACCGGAGUGGACGCAUCACUGGUGUUCGGGUUGUCAUGCCAAUGGCACUGCCCGGUAGCUAAAUGCGGAAGAGAUAAGUGCUGAAAGCAUCUAAGCACGAAACUUGCCCCGAGAUGAGUUCUCCCUGACUCCUUGAGAGUCCUGAAGGAACGUUGAAGACGACGACGUUGAUAGGCCGGGUGUGUAAGCGCAGCGAUGCGUUGAGCUAACCGGUACUAAUGAACCGUGAGGCUUAACCUUACAACGCCGAAG